AUGCAUUGGAUAUCUUGGAAAGGACUAGCAACACCUAAAUGUAAAGGUGGCAUGUGAUUUUGGGAUCUCCACCUUUUUAAUGUGGCACUGUUGGGUAAGCAAGGAUGGCGCCUAAUUACCAAUCCAAACACCCUAUGUGCAAGAGUGCUCAAGGGCAGGUAUUUUCCUGACAUAGACUUCAUGCAAGCUUCAGUUCUUGGCUCCUCCUCGGCUACUUGGAGGGACAUUAUUGCGGGCAGGGAGGCCUUGCUCACUGGGCUCAUCAAACGAGUGGGGGAUGGCUCUACGAUCUCGAUCUGGGAUGACAAAUGGAUACCAUCAACACACACUUUGGCUCCUCUGUUUCAUCCACCGGCAGCAAACGUAACCCUGAUGAGUGAUCUUAUUGACGCAGAUAAUUGGACAUGGUAG
RNAcentral lists this ribosomal RNA (411 nucleotides) under Triticum aestivum (bread wheat). Its description in RNAcentral is "partial small subunit ribosomal RNA". The record is from RNAcentral. Lineage: Eukaryota; Viridiplantae; Streptophyta; Magnoliopsida; Poales; Poaceae.